UACAGAGGUCCCGAGCGUUGUUCGGAUUCACUGGGCGUAAAGGGUGCGUAGGUGGUGAGGAAAGUCGGAUGUGAAAUCUCCAAGCUCAACUUGGAAAUGGCAUUGGAAACUACCUUGCUGGAGGUUUGGAGGGGGGACUGGAAUACUUGGUGUAGCAGUGAAAUGCGUAGAUAUCAAGUGGAGCACCAGUGGCGAAGGCGAGUCCCUGGACAACACCUGACACUGAGGCACGAAAGCUAGGGGAGCAAACAGG
RNAcentral lists this ribosomal RNA (253 nucleotides) under uncultured bacterium. RNAcentral's name for it is "partial 16S ribosomal RNA". It matches the Rfam family "Bacterial small subunit ribosomal RNA", at positions 524 to 776 of the family's 1533-position model. The record is from RNAcentral.